This 74-nucleotide transfer RNA is filed under the name Loxopholis percarinatum. RNAcentral describes it as "tRNA-Trp". The record is from RNAcentral. Lineage: Eukaryota; Metazoa; Chordata; Lepidosauria; Squamata; Gymnophthalmidae.
AGAAAUAUAGGCUAAACUAUUUACUUAAACCAUGGACCUUCAAAGCCCAAACUGUGUAAUCAACACUAUUUCUG